Peromyscus maniculatus bairdii (prairie deer mouse) is the source of this 1332-nucleotide non-coding RNA. Lineage: Eukaryota; Metazoa; Chordata; Mammalia; Rodentia; Cricetidae. The record is from RefSeq and is a predicted model, not a curated record.
GGAUAAGAGAGAGGGGGCAGCCAUGAGGAGAGGGAUGCACAGUAGGUCUAGCUUAAGUGCUGCAUAUUUCCAGUUCCCCUAGAGUCCCUUUCACAUGCCCUUUCUCUUUAAAGUGAUGAGCUCUAUACAUUAGGAGACACAGGGUGGCGAUCUGAGGUGUGGCAGUGACAGCAGAAGUAGGAGCUCUGCAGGAAGUCCAGAUGGCAGUGUGCCCACUUCCCCAGCAUAGAGGGUCUCUGUCCAGCACAGGAAGAGGAAAGUGACAGCAAGCUGGAGGAAAAUGGGUACCACAUCGGAUGGAAUGCAGAGAAUUUGCUCCACUUUGGAAGUGCCUGGCCACAUCCCUAGUCUUGGAUCCCAAGAAUUCCUGACCUGAGUAUGUGCACACUUACCAUGAGUGACAUGGAGGGAAAAGAGCACCUCUCACCUCUCCUACUUUGCAGACUAGCAUGGCAUUGUCGGAGCUCCAGAGGAACUCAGAGAUUCCACACAGCAACAGAAGGCCAUGCUGUGGAGGACAAUGACAUGGUUUCUCUUCUACCAUCCAACUACAGACAAGGACUCCAAGUUAACAACAAGAACUGUGGAAUCUACAGGAGUGGUCCCUUGUGACAGCCUCCCAGUGGAUAAUCCAGAAAACCUGCCUGACCAUGUAAACAAAUAUCUCAGAGGAACCUUGGGAAUUAAAUGUGUUUCCCUUCCUGAACUGUUGAGUGGAUUCGUGAGAAGGGCAGUAUCCAUGGACCACCUGUCCCAGGCCUCCACUAACAUGAAGAAGGAGAACUUGAGGUCAUACCCUCGGCCCAUCUUUCACUGGUAUUAGACAGAGACAAUUUUCAAACAAAUACUGAUGCACUGAAUUAGAAUAACAACAUAAUUUCUAUAAAUUGUCAUUCAGAAUGUUUGACCCCUGGAGGAGAGAAAUCUGAAGCUAUAUGAUCUCUCAGGUUCUACCAGUUGUUAUUCUAAAGGUAACAGAUGUUUGCACUUCAUCUAUAUAUUCAGCAAAAUCCAGUCUGAUGCUCAAACACAAGAUGUAAAAACCAACUGAACCUAAACCUAGAAGAGAGGGCAGAGGACAGGAGAGAUUCCUGCAGACCAUCAUCUUCUUCUUACAGGACUUCCCACCAAGUCUGAAAGAUCCACAAAGGGCCACAGGGAAGUAAUGGAGACAGGACACAUGGAACAGAACAGAAAGUUAAGUAACAGACCCAGUGAAACCCUGCCAGCUGAUGUUCUCAUAGUCAACCAGGGAAAUCAAGGCAGAGAGAUUGGCUUGUCCACAAAAGACUGCAGAAGAAGAUUUAAAAACAAGAAUAAGGAACCCCUUUU